AUUGAACGCUGGCGGCAUGCCUUACACAUGCAAGUCGAACGGCAGCACGGGAGCAAUCCUGGUGGCGAGUGGCGAACGGGUGAGUAACAUAUCGGAACGUGCCCAGUGAUGGGGGAUAGCCCGGCGAAAGCCGGAUUAAUACCGCAUACGACCUACGGGUGAAAGCAGGGGAUCGCAAGACCUCGCGCGAUUGGAGCGGCCGAUGGCAGAUUAGGUAGUUGGUGGGGUAAAGGCUCACCAAGCCUGCGAUCUGUAGCUGGUCUGAGAGGACGACCAGCCACACUGGGACUGAGACACGGCCCAGACUCCUACGGGAGGCUG
Molecule: ribosomal RNA, 321 nt
Filed under: uncultured Pseudomonadota bacterium
Lineage: Bacteria; Pseudomonadati; Pseudomonadota
Description: bacterial SSU rRNA
Rfam family: Bacterial small subunit ribosomal RNA
Source: RNAcentral